AAUAAAUUGAACACCUCACGUUGCAAUAUUGCCUGGUGUACCUAACGCCACUUUAUUGUUUUAGGUAUAAAAGUAUCACAAAACCAAAGGAAAAGGUAUAGAAGAUAUCAACGGAAACUGGAAGAAUUAAGAUGACGAAAAUAACUAUUGCUAUUUUCAUGGUUAUACUCAUGUUCCAUGUAGCUGCUAUUGGUGGUUUAAUAUGGGAUAAUGUAGAACGGCGGCGGGGUGGUGGUCGAGGAGGUAGUCGUGGUGCAUCAGGUACAAGUUGGAAGAAACGGGAUAUGAUAAAGAACGUUGAUGACUUGACAGAGUUCGAACGAUUUGUAUCUGACCGCAUGGCUGUUGAUCCUUAGUGUUGAAAGAUACUAACACCUAUCAUCCCAAGAGUACCAGUCCAUGUGUAAAAUAACAGAGAAUUAAAAACAUAAUAAUGCA
Molecule: long non-coding RNA, 438 nt
Organism: Patella vulgata (common limpet)
Lineage: Eukaryota; Metazoa; Mollusca; Gastropoda; Patellidae
Exons: 3
Source: RefSeq, a predicted model, not a curated record